This 716-nucleotide ribosomal RNA is filed under the name uncultured bacterium. RNAcentral describes it as "bacterial SSU rRNA". It matches the Rfam family "Bacterial small subunit ribosomal RNA", at positions 28 to 739 of the family's 1533-position model. The record is from RNAcentral.
AUUGAACGCUGGCGGCAUGCCUUACACAUGCAAGUCGAACGGCAGCACGGGAGCAAUCCUGGUGGCGAGUGGCGAACGGGUGAGUAAUACAUCGGGACGUGCCCAGUAGUGGGGGAUAGCCCGGCGAAAGCCGGAUUAAUACCGCAUACGACCUACGGGUGAAAGCGGGGGAUCGCAAGACCUCGCGCUAUUGGAGCGGCCGAUGUCAGAUUAGGUAGUUGGUGAGGUAAAGGCUCACCAAGCCUUCGAUCUGUAGCUGGUCUGAGAGGACGACCAGCCACACUGGGACUGAGACACGGCCCAGACUCCUACGGGAGGCAGCAGUGGGGAAUUUUGGACAAUGGGCGCAAGCCUGAUCCAGCCAUGCCGCGUGCGGGAAGAAGGCCUUCGGGUUGUAAACCGCUUUUGUCAGGGAAGAAACGCUCUGGGCUAAUACCCCGGGGUAAUGACGGUACCUGAAGAAUAAGCACCGGCUAACUACGUGCCAGCAGCCGCGGUAAUACGUAGGGUGCAAGCGUUAAUCGGAAUUACUGGGCGUAAAGCGUGCGCAGGCGGUCAUGCAAGACAGAUGUGAAAUCCCCGGGCUUAACCUGGGAACUGCAUUUGUGACUGCAUGGCUUGAGUGCGGCAGAGGGGGAUGGAAUUCCGCGUGUAGCAGUGAAAUGCGUAGAUAUGCGGAGGAACACCGAUGGCGAAGGCAAUCCCCUGGGCCUGUA